GUUCCAUAACCCGGAUUUUGGAGGAGCAGACCCCAUUACAAGCACGCCUUGAUAAACUGGCUUCUCAUAUUGGCCGGGUUGGAUUGUCAGUGGCUAUACUCGUUCUUGCAGUUCUGAUGAUUCGUUACUUUACUGGAAGCACCAGAGAUGAAAAUGGAAAGAGAGAGUACAAAGGAAGCAAGACAAGAGUCAGUGAUAUAGUCAAUUCAGUUGUGGAGAUGAUUGCAGCAGCAGUGACCAUUUUAGUGGUUGCAAUUCCAGAAGGUCUGCCUCUAGCUGUAACUCUAACUCUGGCCUACUCUAUGAUGCGAAUGAUAAAAGAUAAUGCCAUGGUUCGUAAACUUUCUGCCUGUGAAACAAUGGGUUCAGCUACAACAAUCUGCACAGAUAAAACAGGGACUCUUACUUUGAACAAGAUGACAGUUACAGAAUUUUGGCUCGGAAAAGAGCUAAUUAAGGAUGAUGCUUCAAAGGCAAUAGAACCAGAGAUCUUCAAGUUGCUACAGGAGGGGGUUGCCUUAAACACAACAGGUACCGUUGAUACGACACAUGCUUCAUCAAUUCCUGAGAUUUCUGGCAGUCCAACAGAAACGGCAAUACUUUCUUGGGCUGUUUUUGAUUUAAAUAUGAAUAUCAAUGAGACAAAACAAAAUUGUGAAGUAAUACAUGUAGAGGCAUUUAAUUCAGAGAAAAAAAGAAGUGGGAUAUUAACGAGGAAAAUUGAAGACAGAGAAAUUCAUACCCAUUGGAAGGGAGCAGCCGAGAUGAUAUUAGCCAUGUGUUCAAAUUAUUGUGUAGGAAGUGGAGCACUAAAAGGAAUGAAUGCAGAUGAUAGAUUGGAGUUUGAAAAAAUAAUUCAGUGUAUGGCAGCCAAAAGCCUGAGAUGUCUUGCCUUUGCCUACAAAAAAGUCACACAUGAUAAUGAGGAGGAGGUAUCUAAGAAGCUUGAAGAAGCUGAACUCACCUUACUGGGGUUUGUGGGACUGAAGGACCCAUGUCGUCCAGGGGUUAGAACAGCAGUAGAAUCAUGUAAGAAUGCAGGGGUGAAUGUUAAAAUGAUCACUGGUGACAACACGCUCACAGCAAGGUCUAUAGCUUUUGAAUGUGGAAUUCUUCAUCCUGAUGACGACAUAGAAAAAGCUGUAGUGGAAGGUUCACAAUUCAGAAAUUACUCCCCUGAAGAGAGAAUGACAAGGAUCGAAGAUAUUCGAGUAAUGGCAAGAUCAUCCCCAUUUGACAAACUUCUGAUGGUACAGUGCUUGAAACAGAAAGGCCAUGUGGUAGGAGUCACUGGUGAUGGCACAAACGAUGCUCCUGCGCUAAAGGAAGCAGAUAUUGGUCUUGCCAUGGGAAUUCAAGGGACAGAGGUGGCAAAGGAGAGCGCAGACAUAAUCAUCUUGGAUGAUAACUUUACCUCUGUAGUGACAGUAUUGCGGUGGGGAAGAAGUGUCUCCAAUAACAUUCAAAAGUUCCUUCAGUUUCAACUCACGGUCAAUGUUGCAGCUCUCGCUAUCAACUUUGUUGCAGCUGUUUCUUUCGGUAACGUCCCUUUAACUGCAGUUCAGCUAUUGUGGGUGAACCUCGUUAUGGACACCUUGGGAGCACUGGCCUUGGCCACUGAGCAGCCCACUAAUGAUCUCAUGGCAAAGCCACCUAUGGGUAGAUCAGAGCCACUUAUCACCAAAAUCAUGUGGAGGAAUCUCAUUGCCCAAGCCUUGUAUCAGUUAGCCGUCUUGCUUACUCUAGAAUUUAAAGCAAAUUCCAUCUUUGGUGUGAAUGAGAGGAUAAAGAAUACUAUCAUCUUCAAUACUUUUGUCCUGUGUCAAGUCUUUAAUGAGUUCAAUGCAAGGAAUAUGGAAAAGAAGAAUAUAUUCAAAGGGAUACAUAGGAACAAAUUGUUUAUAGUGAUCAUUGGAAUUACCAUAGUUCUUCAAGUGCUGAUGGUUGAGCUUCUGACGAGAUUUGCCGGUACAGAGAGGUUAAAUUGGGGGCAAUGGGGUGCUUGCAUUGGCAUUGCAGCUGUGUCUUGGCCAAUUGGUUUUCUAGCCAAGUGCAUUCCAGUUUCUGAAAAGCAGCUUCAAAACAAAUAGUUCCCAAAAACAUAAAAACAGCAACCCAGAAAUUGCAUGUCUUCAUUAUGAAAACCCAAUUGCAAAGCAUGGCAGAGCAAUGUCAAGACUAAGCUCAAAAUAAAUUCGACAAACCAGAAUAACUAAGGUCAAUUGUCGUUAUUUUCAAAUCAUGCUUUUGUUCUUAUAUUUGUAUAUACACUCUAAGAUCUGAAUAUA
Molecule: unclassified non-coding RNA, 2288 nt
Filed under: Hevea brasiliensis (rubber tree)
Lineage: Eukaryota; Viridiplantae; Streptophyta; Magnoliopsida; Malpighiales; Euphorbiaceae
Source: RNAcentral